RNAcentral lists this ribosomal RNA (245 nucleotides) under uncultured bacterium. RNAcentral's name for it is "partial 16S ribosomal RNA". It matches the Rfam family "Bacterial small subunit ribosomal RNA", at positions 524 to 768 of the family's 1533-position model. The record is from RNAcentral.
UACAGAGGUCUCAAGCGUUGUUCGGAUUCAUUGGGCGUAAAGGGUGUGUAGGUGGCGCGCUAAGUCGGGUGUGAAAUUUCGGAGCUUAACUCCGAAACUGCAUUCGAUACUGGCGUGCUUGAGGACUGGAGAGGAGACUGGAAUUUACGGUGUAGCAGUGAAAUGCGUAGAUAUCGUAAGGAAGACCAGUGGCGAAGGCGGAUCUCUGGACAGUUCCUGACGCUGAGGCGCGAAGGCAUGGGGAG